CGCGGUUAUACAAAGGGCGCGAACUAAUUGGUUUGGCAGGAGUUAGAUUAGUAAUGGGUCUUAUAUUUGGUUUUUAUUAGGUGAAAUUUUAAAACUAUGGAGUGCCCGCUUGAGUUAAUUUAUUUCGUAAAUUUUAAUUUUAAACUAGGAUUAGAUACCCUAUUAUUUUAAUAUGUAUUUUUAUUAUGCCUAGGUAGUAUUAGUUAUGGUCUUGAAACUUAAAAAAUUUGGCGGUAUUUUAGUCUGUUCAGAGGAACCUGUUCUGUAAUCGAUAGUCCACGUUAGAUCUUGCUUAAUCUUGUUUGUCAGUUUGUAUACCGCCGUUAUUGAGUAUUUUAUUAGAAUAAUAAUUUUCAAUUACUUUAUUGGAAGCUUAUAUCAGGUCAAGGUGCAGCUUAUGGUUAAGAUUGAAAUGGGUUACAAUAAAUUUAUUUAUAUGGAUAUUAGGCUUAAAUUCUUGAUUGAAGGUGGAUUUGAUAGUAAAGCUGUUGAGAUGGAUAGUUUGAUUUUGGCUCUAAAAUAUGUACACAUCGCCCGUCACUCUUAUUAUUAAAGUAAGAUAAGUCGUAACAAAGUAGAUGUACUGGAAAGUGUAUCUAGAAAG
Molecule: ribosomal RNA, 604 nt
Filed under: Satanas sp. KW-2016
Lineage: Eukaryota; Metazoa; Arthropoda; Insecta; Diptera; Asilidae
Description: 12S ribosomal RNA
Source: RNAcentral